RNAcentral lists this ribosomal RNA (195 nucleotides) under uncultured bacterium. Its description in RNAcentral is "partial 16S ribosomal RNA". It matches the Rfam family "Bacterial small subunit ribosomal RNA", at positions 1308 to 1500 of the family's 1533-position model. The record is from RNAcentral.
CAACUCGCCUACACGAAGCUGGAAUCGCUAGUAAUCGCGGAUCAGCACGCCGCGGUGAAUACGUUCCCGGGCCUUGUACACACCGCCCGUCACACCAUGAGAGUCUGUAACACCCAAAGCCGGUGGGAUAACCUUUAUAGGAGUCAGCCGUCUAAGGUAGGACAGAUGAUUAGGGUGAAGUCGUAACAAGGUAGC